UGGAAUAAAGGUCACUGAAGAGGAGCGAAGUAAAUUCAAAGAUAAUGAAGUUGACGGAGAAGCAGUGGACUAUGGAUUGACUGAGAGGAUGGUUUCAUACCUCUUUGAAGGAUCGUUUAAGAAGCAAGCCAAAUUCAACCGAUUUGUACAGCAGUGGAAAGAAACCGUGACACUAACCGUUGAGCCUGUCCCGGUACAUUCAGAGAAGGCUACAGUGGAAUCAAGAAUGAAUAUCUGCCGAAGAUUUUAAGAUGGCUUUAAGAUCCUAGUACCCACAGUGCUUAGACUGACUCAAAGGAAAUCUCCCCUUGCUUUGGAGGAAAGAGAGGCUGCCCUCACCGAAGAUGUCCCUGGUAAGUGACUCACUGAUCAGCCGUGGUCACCCCUAGUGUUGUGGAGCCAUUUAAGCUUAAUUUCUUUUCUAUUUGUCUUCAGACAAGAUAAGGCCUA
This is a long non-coding RNA of Sander lucioperca (pikeperch), 450 nucleotides long. RefSeq lists it as uncharacterized. The transcript is spliced from 3 exons. The record is from RefSeq and is a predicted model, not a curated record. NCBI's taxonomy places the organism in Eukaryota, Metazoa, Chordata, Actinopteri, Perciformes, Percidae.